This 502-nucleotide ribosomal RNA is filed under the name uncultured bacterium. Its description in RNAcentral is "partial 16S ribosomal RNA". It matches the Rfam family "Bacterial small subunit ribosomal RNA", at positions 29 to 523 of the family's 1533-position model. The record is from RNAcentral.
AUUGAACGCUGGCGGAAUGCUUUACACAUGCAAGUCGAACGGCAGCACGGGUGCUCGCACCUGGUGGCGAGUGGCGAACGGGUGAGUAAUACAUCGGAACGUACCCAGUCGUGGGGGAUAACGUAGCGAAAGUUACGCUAAUACCGCAUACGUCCUGAGGGAGAAAGCGGGGGACCGUAAGGCCUCGCGCGAUUGGAGCGGCCGAUGGCGGAUUAGCUAGUUGGUGGGGUAAAGGCCUACCAAGGCGACGAUCCGUAGCGGGUCUGAGAGGACGGCCCGCCACACUGGAACUGAGACACGGUCCAGACUCCUACGGGAGGCAGCAGUGGGGAAUUUUGGACAAUGGGCGAAAGCCUGAUCCAGCCAUUCCGCGAGAGUGAAGAAGGCCUUCGGGUUGUAAAGCUCUUUCGGCAGGGAAGAAACGGCUUGGGAUAAUACCCCGGGCUAAUGACGGUACCUGAAGAAGAAGCACCGGCUAACUACGUGCCAGCCGCCGCGGUAA